Saimiri boliviensis boliviensis (Bolivian squirrel monkey) is the source of this 302-nucleotide long non-coding RNA. RefSeq lists it as uncharacterized. NCBI's taxonomy places the organism in Eukaryota, Metazoa, Chordata, Mammalia, Primates, Cebidae. The record is from RefSeq and is a predicted model, not a curated record.
CAAAGUGCUACGAUUAUAGGCGUGAGCCACAGCACCCCGCCUGCCUGGUUAACGUCUACUUAUCCUUCAUUCCUCAUAUCCCUCAAGACUCGGUUCAUAUAUCAACUUCCAUUUGUGCCUGAGCAUGUGGAGUCCAAUGCAGCCAAUCAGGAGACUCCCUCAUCCUUCUGGAAGAAGGGCACUACCACCCUCACUCAAAGAGUUUUCCUGGAACUAAGAAGCUGAACUUGCACGUCAUUAAAUGCUAAGAGACACUCCUGAGCACAGCCCAGGUCCUCAAGGAAUCGCCACACUAUCUCCCA